Long non-coding RNA from Sarcophilus harrisii (Tasmanian devil), 2565 nucleotides. Lineage: Eukaryota; Metazoa; Chordata; Mammalia; Dasyuromorphia; Dasyuridae. The record is from Ensembl.
AUACUCACCUUGCUCUUGGGGGACUGAGGAGAGGGAUGAAUCACAAUGAACCUGAACUUGCCCCUUCUGGCAACAGGAGAGGAGUCAGUCUGGAGGGCACAGGGCAAGGAAGAUGCUCCUUGCCAAAGUGAAGUCCCUGGGUUAGAGGGCCCUCCUCACAGGAUCUUCUCUGGGCCCCACCUUGAGGGCCCAGAGGGCUGGAAAGUGGUGAGCACCAUCGAGGGAGAGGCCAGGUAUGCUCUGGGGUCAUACCAAUUUACCGGUUCAGGGGUCAGAACCAGAAGGGCUUUCCCAUGAUCGUCGCCAGAACUUCCCUGCUGUGCAAGUUACCAAUAAUGGAAAAAGAAGGCACCUGGGGCUGAUUCCAAAAUUCCAACCUGUGUCUUCUCGGUACCCUGACCCAAGGAAAUACAGUUUCUUCCCAAGAAGGCAGGAGCAGAAAACAUCCCAAGACCAGUGGGGCUUUUCUCCAGAUGGGGAUGUGUGCCUCUCCCCGAACAUCGAGCUGGGGUCCCUGACCCCAGCAGGGCAGGGCUCCAGGAGAAAUCUGGCUGUCCACUACUUUCCUGACUUCACACAGCAGGUCCAACAAAAGCAGGAGAAUCUGAAGCCCAAGGUCUUAUCAUUCUGGGGACAGGUCAACAAUUUCCAGGGUGGAAACCCAGCCCAUGAUUUCCCAAGGACAAAGACCUGGGCCACUAGUGAGAGAGAGGGUCCCCAGUGGAGCGUAGGCUGGGGAGCAAAGGACUCCCCGAGCCCAGUCCUGGGAGAGUUACUCCCCAACAGGCCUAACGUCUUGCGGGAACCAACAGAGAAGGCCAGCAGAAACCUUCUACAACAGUCGACCUCCGCGUUUCCCUCCUUAAGACCUAGCUCCUCAGUCUGCCGCUAUUACCCACCUUGCUGUUCUAUUUGCUCUGCUUCUCCAGAAGUCUGAAGUUCCAGUCACUGUAUCCUCAGGAAUUGCCUUCUCCAGGGACCUUGUGAAGACUUUGCUGCAGUACAAGCUCUCAAUGAGGUCCCUAAAUGCCAAUGCUAAUACAUCCACUAUGGCUAAGAAUUCCAAAGUCUUCAAGAAUAGAAAAUACAGAGGCAGGAGGAGAAGCAAGGGGCUUAGCUAAUGCCUACAAGAGGAGUAAUUCAGGACAUGUGGCCAAAAAACAGGCAAACGGUGAAACUUAAACCAGCUCUUAUCAGCAGCUGCUCGGAUGACACAUCGGGGCCCCAGAAACGGUUCCACCCAUUUCGGGUGCGCUUUGCAGACGAAAGCCCCAAGGACAUGGCAUUGCGAUACUGGGAGAGGAACUAUGACGUUCAGAGGAGCCUCCUCAAGAGCCCAGUACCCUAUAAGUCUCCAGAAGUUAUUCCAGGGAAAUUGGGGAUUUGGAUGGAGAAAAUCCCAAGGAAUGGACUUCAGCAGACGAACCUGUGGCGAGAUGAAUUCAUUCGUCCUGGGAGAAUGGAUAACAUACCCAUGUCAUUGCAAGAACUGCCUACUGAUAACCUAAAGAAGAGUCCCACCUACAGCUCUCUGCACACCAGCCCAUUGGCCAUUCUUGACUUCUCUGGUACCAGGACAUUCCAGGACCAGGGCACAGAUCCCCUUAAGAAGAACCCCAUCUACAACUCUCUGCACACCAGCACCUCAAAUAAUAUUGAUUUUUCUGGCACCAGGUCAUUCCAAGACCUUCCCGCCGAUUCCCCUAAGAAGAGUCCUACGUUCGGCAAUCUAUACAACAGUACACUGGCUAACAUUGACUUCUCUAAUUCUAGGCCGUUCCAGGAUCUCUGUAUCGAUCCUGCUAAACAUACCUCUUUGUACACCACCCCAGUAAUCAACACUGAUAGGCCACGAAGCCGGACCCUCAACACUGGAGUCUCCUCAUUGAAUGAGAACUCUCCUUCCUUGUGGGCUCCUAGAAUGGAUACUUUUGUACCUCACUUGAUGUCAUCUAAUCGGAAGGGAGGACAGACAGGACCUUACCAGUUUUUUCCUCCACUCACCCCACUUCGGACUCAAAGCACCAACCAAGGCAGCUCUGAGUCUCCCCGAUAGCCAGCUAGCCAGAAUGGCUCCUGAAGAACGAGACAAUAUGAAGAACAACGUGGCAAAUCCAGGGACACAGGGGUGGAGAGAAGAAAGGGACAAUUUCAGCAACUCCCUCUGCCCCCUUUCCCCUUACACUCUCUCUCUCCCCCCAAAUAAAAUUAACUAAAAACAGACACACAACCAACCAAUAGCUCAUAGGCUAUGAAGCCUUUCCAGAAACCAAGAGCCAAAUGUCUUCACUGAAGACAUAUUUCAACUCCAUGGAAGGCCUUCUCCCCUCUGACUUUGCUCAGGGUCAUAUGGUUUAAGAGUCCACUGAGGAAGAACUCUCCAACUCUCCAGCCUGUCGCCCUCCCUGAGCUAACAAGCCAGCCCUAACAUCAAUUAUAGCUCACAUACCUGUAAUAAUUUAGGGUUUACAAAGCACUUUCCCCACAAAUAAAAUAGUGGAAAGGGCAUUGGAUUUGGAGUCUGAAUUCUGGCUGAACUCCUUGAUGCUUGUAUGACCUUAGACA